Molecule: non-coding RNA, 9863 nt
Organism: Rattus norvegicus (Norway rat)
Lineage: Eukaryota; Metazoa; Chordata; Mammalia; Rodentia; Muridae
Source: RefSeq, a predicted model, not a curated record
AUAUUUUGGAUAUAAGGCCUCUAUCUGUUGUAGGAUUGGUAAAGAUCUUUUCCCAAUCUGUUGGUUGCCGUUUUGUCCUAACCACAGUGUCCUUUGCCUUACAGAAGCUUUGCAGUUUUAUGAGAUCCCAUUUGUCGGAGAAUCAUCUUCUUAAAGACUUUUAAAAUAUUCUUUUGUUUUUUAAGAGGAUGACUAGAUUAAUCUGAAGGAACAAGUGCACUUUGCCGAUAGUGUGGCAUUUGUCACAGAAGCUGAGAUGUAGGGAAAGCUUUAGUGUCAACGGAUGGAUGGAUAAAGAACAAGUCGGGGAAAGUCAGGAUUUCAGCUUCAAGAAUGGAAGAAAUACAGGUUCUCAAAGAAUAUACACAGGCUGGACCUAGGCCUUCCUGCACUUACACAGCAGAUGUUCAGCUUGGUCUUCAUAAGGAUCCUGGUGUCUGCGCGUCGUUCCUGCUGGCGAGACGUUGGGCGCACGAUAUUUGGUGCCGAAACCCGGGACAAAUGCCACACCAUCGCCGGCGCCAAGGAGAGCCUCCAUUCGCGGAGACGGUCCAGAACUGCAGGUCGAGAGAAACAGACAAGCUUAGCCCCUCUGAGGAAGAGGAUUUACAAGAUGAGGCAGCUUGCUAUGAAGAAGAAAGAUAUGGGCCUAGGUGGAGAGCCACUGUGAAGAAACCGAAAGUUAUGGAUCCUUUGUGGACAAGGCUGGUAAUUUUGUUUAUUUUUUUCUUUGUGUGGGAAGCCAUUAGGACAGGUCAGAGAAUCCUUGCAGAGCAGCAAGAAAGUAUGUCGGAGGGAGAAAAGGUCUCGAAAGAAAAAAAGAAAAGAAAAGGAGAUAAAAGGAACACAGUAUUUUGGGAGAAAAAUUUUGUCUUUGUGCUUGUAAAAGGUGUGAUUAGGCUCUGGAAACUUCACAGAGUCAUACUGAUCAGAUUUGAUCGAGGUAGACCACCUGAAACAUUUAUUCAGGAGAAUCAAACAAAAAGAUAUCUCAAUUCUCAACGCCCAUGCACAGCUUGAUGGAGUUAAUGUAAUUGAGUUGUGAGUGGAAAUAUUCAGGACUGUGUUUUACUUCCAUACCAUUUGUGAAUGUCAGUCGUGCUGCUCAGAUAUCCCGUAAUAUAUCUCAGUAUCUUACAGGAAUUUGGUCUCAACACGUUGAUGGACUAGUCCAGGAAUUGAGACAAUCCAUCGUCCAUAUCAACUCCACUCGAGUGGAGUGUCACCGUGGAAGUGGUGGGAAAGGGGAAAUCCUACCUCUCUGCUGACUCCUAUUGGAAUCUGGGUCCCUUUCGUGGGACAUCAUCUAGUUUUUCCCCUCUGUCUAUUGUCUGUCCUUGGUGCACCAAGCUGUCCAUGUAUGUCAGUUUAUGUCUGUGGUUCUUGUUUCUCGUUAUUUAAAUGUUUUAUGUUUCAUGUUCAAAAGAAAAAAUAGUAAAAACUUUAUCUGCUGGUCGUUCAGACCUUGACUUGGUUUUAACUCGUUUCAAAAAGGAACAAAUGAAUAAAAAACAGUUUCAAUCAGGCCUUUAGAGCCCUGCACCUGUAGCUAGGAACAUAGGUCAGCUGGAGAAGCUGCCCAGAAGCUAAGCGUCUGCACGAGGUGAUCUUAAAGGCUCCAGCAGCUUCUCAGCUUCUUUGGUACAAGAGCUGCGAGCUGUUUCUCUUAGAGAAAUCCCUGACUUAUUAUUUGACUCAACAGGUGACAAGGUGCUUCUCUUAAAAUCAUAGCUAAAAAGGUAAAAAUGGUGUUUGGUCUAAAUAUUAAAGAUAUGUGUAGCCACUUCAAUUUGUUUCUGAUUGGUUUUAAAUGUGUAAAUAUGCUCUACUUGCCUUGGUCAUAGAUUGUUGGCUUUUUAGUUAUUGGAUAUGGUUAAAAAGGUAUAAUAUUGGUAACAGAAAGUUGACAUAAAACUGGUAAUUUGGAUGGAGUCAUUUCUAGACAACAUGUGGCAUGAGCCAACCCAGGGAAACAGGUCUAAAUUGAGAUAAUAUUUUUAUGGAAUUCUUAUCCUAGAAACCAGGCUUCUAAAAGAAUUUAGGACAAUGUCUCUUUGUUGAGGUACUAGAGACUACGCCAUCGUGUGUUCAUAUAUAGGAAUUGGCAGUCAAACAUUGUACUAAUUUGUUGGAGGUCGAGUUUUGCUUUCCAAAGUUGUGGUUUUCCCUGAAGCUAUCGGUAUUUUAAUGCUAAUUCCACUGCCCCAAGGACAGCUGCCUAGUCAUGUACUCAGAACGCAGGUGACCUUGUGGUUGUGCUCUGUUGUUACAAGGAGAAUUUAAGGUUUGUGAUUUAGGAUUGCCAGUGUUACAUUGACUAACUCAAACUUAUUUUUAAUUAAGAAAAAAUCAAACAGGUAGAGAUUGUUACAAGAUUUAUGAAGGAUUGAUGAGGUUUUUGGAACUUGUGAGAACAUUACAGCCAGUUUACUUACUCCAACUGCCAUUUCAAGAUAGAUUUAGAGGAUUGAUUUUGAGGUUUCAUUUCGUGAGCCUGCUUAUAAUUUUAGAGAGCCCAUAGAGUGAUAUCAUUAAGAAUGGCUAAUAGCCUUAUAUUAUGUAAUUUUGUUGCUUCUUCGAUGUAAGAAGUUAGAACCUUGAAUCUUUCAGUGUAUAUGGAAAUUUUUACUACAAACCUUUGCUCUCAAAAUGAGCUUUAAUAUUUGGGGAGUAGCUGUUGCACUACUCCAGAAAAGAAUAUUUGAAACUAAUUUCAAGCUUCUAAGGAUAUGUUAAUUGGCUAAGUACCUCACCCUACCAGAGGACUUAGGUCUUUGUUAUGCACAUUGGAGAUAAAGCUUCAGCUGUGUUAAUACAGAAUUGUAGACUAGAGUCAUGGAAGUAUUUUAAAAAGAAACCUGGUGAAACAUAUCUUAUUCCAAACAACAGUUAAUUGGUUAUUACAAAAUACUGAUAUUUGGCCUAUUACAUAUACAAAUUUUUCAGGCAAAAUUGAUAAUUUUACUCUUUACAUGCUUUUGUACUUCCUGUAUAUUUGUGCAUACAACCCAUAGGAAAUGCGCUUAGUGCAUUUAUAGGCGGUUCAUCUAAUGAAAAGGCUACAUGUAUGAUUGGAUCACUUGUUUAUUCUCUUGAGUUUCUGUUGCUUCAGUACAUUAUUAAAUUCCGUAGUUUAGCCACUGUUUUUAAAUCAAGCUUUCAAUUCAUAUACUGAUAGCCAAUGUGUAGCUUGUGAUUUACAAUUGAUUUCAAUUACUUAAUGCUUUAUUAGAGACAGGUUUUCUACUUAAAAUCAGUGAGUGAUUUCAGUGUGAAUUGUCUGACAACUCACUGUCCUUUCAGUGCCCUGGCUCAGACAACUAAACAAAACCAUAGACCCAGCUCUUUGAAAAUGAUAAUGGAGUUGAUAUGAAAAGAGGAAGACUCCAUUUGCUUGCUUUCAAUUCCCAGCCUCACCCUGCCAGCUCAGGGAUUUCUAGUAAGACUGAAAUUGGACAAUAUUUACAAGAUUUGACAUUUCUAAUUAAUGCUUAUGUUUAGGUAAAUAAAGUUUGUGAGGUGCUAGAGAAAUGGCUUAGUGGUUAAGAGCACUAAGUACUGUUCCUUUAUAGGACAUUUAAGAACUCAAACUGGAUUGCCUGGGCUCUUUAGCAAGGGAGGACAUUGAUACCAGACAGAUUAUAGGCCUUACAUAGGAACAAUUAGUCAAAAAAUCUCAUUCUUUAUAUAUCCAAAACAAUAAUGCUGGAGACAAUAAUUUGAUAUACAAGUCAAUUUAUAAAUACAAGUGCUCAGUGUCCUCAAUUUAAUCCUCGAGGACUUACCUUAAUAAAUAAUAUCCUUACUAUAUCUUAAUAAAUAAAUAGGGAGAGUUAUCCCUGUAUGCUAAAUGAUGCUCCUUUUAUUUCAAUUUUAAAAUUUGGAUGCCAAAGUUUAUGGCACCCUACAACUAGGCAUACUUCUGCCUAGGUGAAAUAGAGAGAUCCACAUAUUGACAUCAUCCUGUCCAGAUAUUUUAUAUGGGGAAGAGGGAAUGCUUGUGUUUUUUCUACAGGAUGCUACAAGAGUGUGCCAGCUGCCUGAGUGGUUGGUGAGACUUGUUGAUCCUGGUUGCAUAAAGAUUCAGCUCUCCUGGUUCGGGUCCCUGGAAUCAUUCCUCUGCCCCGAGAGGAAGAUGGAAGAUUCCCCUUCACCUUUUGUCAUCAGAGAUUUUGGCAUUGCUGCAGUCAGUGUUACCGCUGCGUGUGUCCCGUCCCGCUCUCUGACCCUCUGUGCACUGCUGCUUGCUGAAGAAGACUGAACUCCAGCCGUUGCUGCCCCCCUCAUUUUCCCUGGUGACUCUUGCUGCCUUAACUGGUCAUUUUGCAAUCUGUAGCUUCACAGGAAUGCCACCUGCGUAAAGCUGCUGUGGACUGGGGAACUCUGCCCUGGUUGUACAGAUCUCAGAAAUGGUUCCAUUGUCUGCUGGUUGUUCCAGAGAAAAAUGACUAAUCCUGAACUGUCCUGGAAAAGACCUUGACACCUUCGCUGCUAUUGUAGCAGCCAUUACUGCUGCAGACAUUGUGUCUGCAGUGUCUGGAGUUAUCCUCCCCCAAUCUAUUGUUAGACAAGCACAGUGGGUGAACUUUCUGGAGUAGUUACUAACAAUUGGGAAUUCUAAAUUCUAUUAUAGGAGUGGCUUGACUACAGCCCUUGGUGGUAACAGCUGAGGAGAACCAUAUGAGGUGCCCACUACUUAUCGGGAGUGGCUCUGUUUGGUGCAGCCCUAUGCUGUGGAUUAGUGUUCAUGCUAUGGUUGGUUUGCAAACUCAGAUCUCAACAGAAACGUGACAAGGCCGUUAUCACUCAAGCACUUGUGGCCAUUGUACAAGGGGCCUUCCCUGGAAUUUGGUUAUCUAUGCUCAGGAAUUAGUCGGUUGUAGAGGGCCGCAAUACGUUCGCCACCACUAGAUGGCGCUGUCUUCCACUGUGCCCCACGUGGUAGGUCAGGAUAGACUCCGCCAUUACAAGAUGGCGCCAACCUUCGCUGCGCCAGCCGGUCCCCCCUUUUCAGGUAGUUAACUGUGCGCAUGUGCAAGAGUGCCUUCGUGCCAGGUCUUUGCCCACUCCGGGGCGUGCCUUAUGAGAUCAUGGGUAACAACCAAUCAGGUGUGGGUGCGCUGCACGAGGGUUUUAUAAGCGCCCCCAUGUUGGCGCGGCGUGGCUUUUCCUCUUCUAAGAUUAAUAAAGUGGUCACAGUAAGGAUUUCUAAUGUCCCCAUGCUCCUUGCCGGCGAAAAGUCGCGCGCGGGACAUUUGGUGCCGAGAAUCCGGGACACAAAAAAGCUACAACAUCGCCGGUGCCAAGAGGAAGCCUCCGUUUCACGGAAGAAAUCCAGAAGCUGUGGAAUGCAGGUAAAAAGAACUCUGAGAGACAAUGCUUAGCCCUGAUCUGCUCAAGCUCAGUCCCCUGCCGGACGCGGCAGGUGCUGCUAUGGUUGCUCUGGCAGCCCUCGAGUUGUUUCUAUUGACCUUUGAGUUUCUAGCUACCGCCAAAAGGUGUCAGAGGUCGCGUGGGAACUGCCCAGCUGUAACAGCAAAGCGGAGAGUGUUGGGGGAAGGGGGAAAAUCGUCAGAAACAGAGGAUAGUGAAAAGUUGCAACGAAAUGAUUGAUCUCAAGCACCAGGCCCCCCUGCGGUCUUACCACCGCCAGGGGUGAAAAAUUGGGGAAAGAAUGCCCCGGGUGAGAAGGGAGGAGGUAAAAGGAACACAGUAUUUUGGGAGAAAAACUUUGUCUUAGUGCUUAUGAAAGGUGUAAUUAAGCUCCCGCGCCAGCUCUGGGGACGCUGCGGCGUCCGGGCGCUGACGAGACAGCUUUACAGAAUCAUACUGAUCAGAUUUGAUAGAGGCAGACUGCCUGAAAAUUUAUUCAGGAGAAUCAAACAAAAGGACAUCUCAGUGCCCGUGCACAGCCUGAUAGAGUUAAUGUAAUUGGGUUGUGAGUAAAAAUACUCAGGGCCGUGUUUCACUUCCAUACCAUUGGCGAAUGUCGGUCAUACUGUUCAGAUAAUAUCUCUCAGUGUCUUACAGAAUUGGGUUUCAACACGUUGGUGGACUAGUCCAGGAAUUGAGACAAUCCAUCGCCCAUAUCAGCUACACUCGAGUGGAUAGUCGCCGUGAACACCAUCUGGCUUUUUCCCCUCUUUGUCUAUUGUUUGUCUCUGGUGCAUCAGGAUGUCCCCAUGUCUGUCAGUGUAUGUCUGUGGUUUUUGUUUCUCAUUGUCUAAAAGUUUUAUGUUUCAUGUUCAAAAGAAAAAAUGGUAAAAACUUUAUCUGCCGGUCAUGCACACCUUGACUUGGUUUUAACUCGUUUCAAAAAGGAACAAAUGAAUAAUUGUACAUCCAAAUGUAAGAAUUGACAGUCAAACUUUGUAACAUAAUAGAUAGACCUGGGGUGCCUUGGAGACUAGAUUGUUUGUUGGAGGUUGAGUUUUACUUUCCAAAGUUGUGGCUUGCCCUGAAGUUAUCUGUAUUCUAAUGCUAAUUUCCACUGCCCCGAGAACAGCUGCCUAGUCACGUACUCAGAACUCAGGUGACCUCGUGGCUAUGUUCUGGUGUUACAAAGAGAACUUAAAGAUUGUGAUUUAGGAUUGCCAGUGUUACGUUGACUAACUCAAACUUAUUUUUAAUUAAGGAAAAAUCAAACAGGUAGAGAUUGUUACAGGAUUUAUAAGGAUUGAUGAGGUUUUAGAACUUGUGAGAGCAUUACAGCCAGUUUCCUUACUCCAACUGCCAUUUCAAGACAGAUUUAGAGGAUUGAUUUUAUACAAUUUGUUUUCGUCAUAACAAUUGUGAGUUUUCAUUUCGUGAGCUUGCUUAUAGUUUUAGAGAGCCCAUAAAGUGAUAUCAUUAAGAAUGGCUAACAGCCUCAUAUUAGGUAAUUUUGUUGCUUCUUCAGUGUAAGAAGUUAGAACUUAAAUCUUUCAAUGUACAUGGAAAUUUUUAUUACAAACCUUUGCUCUCAAAAUGAGCUUUAAUAUUUGGGGAGUAGCUGUUACACUACUCCAGAUAAGAAUAUUUAAAGCUAAUUUUAAGCUUCUAAAGAUAUGUUAAUUGGCUAAGUACCUCACCUUACCAGAGGACUUAGGUCUUUGUUAUGCACAUUGGAGAUAAAGCUUCAGCUGUGUUAGUACAGAGUUCUGGACUGGAGUCAUGGAAGUAUUUUAAAUAGAAACCUGGUAAAACAUAUCUUAUUCCAAACAACAGUUAAUUGGUUACUACUAAAUACUGAUAUUUGGCCUAUUACAUAUACAAAUUUUUCAGACAAAAUUGAUAAUUUUACUCUUUACAUGCUUUUGAACUUCCUACAUAUUUGUGCAUACAACCCAUAGGAAAUGCGCUUAGUACAUUUAUAGGUGGUUCAUCUAAUGAAAAGGCUACAUGUAUGAUUGGAUCACUUGUUUAUUCUCUUGAAUUUCUAUUGCUUCAACACAGAUUAUUAAAUUCCAUGCUUUAGCCGCUGUUUUUAAAAUGUUAAAAAAUCAAGCUUUCUAUUCAUAUACUGAUAGCCAAUGUGUGGCUUGUGGUUUACAAUUGAUUUCAAUUUCUUAAUGCUUUAUUAGAGGCAAGUUUUCUACAUGAAAUCAGUGAGUGAUUUCAGUGUAAAUGUCUGACAACUCACUGUCCCUUCAGUGCUCUGGCUCAGACAACUAAACAUAACCACAGACCCAGCUCUUUAAAAAUGGUAAUAGAGUUGAUAACACACCCUCACGAAAAGAGGAAGAUUCCAUUUGUUUACUUUCAACUCCCAGCUUCACCCUGCCAGCUCAGAGAUUUCUAGGAAGACUGAAUCUGGACAAUAUUUACAAGAUUUGACAUUUCUAAUUAAUGCUUAUGUUUAGGUAAAUAAAGUUUGUGAGGUGCUAGAGAGAUGGCUUAGUGGUUAAGUACACUAAGCUGUUACUUUAUAGGACAUUUAAGAACUCAAACUAGAUUGCCUGGGCUCCUUAACAAGGGAGGACAAGAUUGCAGACAGAUUAUAGGCCUUACAUAAGAACAAUUAGUCAAAAAAUCUCAUUCUUUAUAUAUCCAAAACAAUAAUGCUGGAAACGAUAAUUUGGUAUACAAGUUAAUUUAUAAAUACAAGUGCUCAGUGUCCUCAACUUAAUACUCGAGGACUUACCUUAAUAAAUAAUAUCUUUACUAUAUCUUUAUAAAUAAAAAGGGGGAGUUAUCCAUGUAUGCUAAAUAAUGCUCCUUUUAUUUCAAUUUUAAAAAUUUGGAUGCCAAAGUUUAUGGCACCCUACAACUAGGCAUACUUCUGCCUAGGUGAAAUAGAGAGAUCCACUUAUUGACAUGUUCCUGUCUAGAUAUUUUAUAUGGGGAAGAGGGAAUGUUUGUGUUUUUUCUACAGGAUGCUGCAGGAGUGUGCCAGCUGCCUGAGUGUCUGGUGAGACAUGCUGAUCCUGGGAGCAUGAAGAUUCAGCUCUCCUGGUUCGGGUCCCUGGAGUCAUUCCUCUGCCCUGAGAGGAAGAUAGAAGAUUCCCCUUCAUCUUUUGUCAUCACAGAGAUUUUGCCGUUGCUGCAGUCAGUGUUACCGCUGCGUGUGUUCCCGUCCCAUUGUGGCCUACACUCAGACUCUGUACACUGCUGCUUCCUGGAGAAGACUGGACUCCAGCUGUUACCCCUGUCCCUUCAUUUCCCUGGUGACUCUUGCUGCCUUAACUGGUAACUGGUGUUGUCAUUUUACAGACUGUAGCUUCACAGAAAGCCACCUGUAUAAAGCUACAGUGACUGGAGAACUCUGUCCUGGUUAUACAGAUCUCAGAAAUGGUUCCAUUGUCUGCUGGUUGUUCCAGAGAAGAAUGACUGAUCCUGAACUGUCCUUGAAAAGACCUUGACACUUUCGCUGCUAUUGUAGCAGCCAUUACUGCUGCAGACAUUGUGUCUGCAGUGUCUGGAGUUAUCCUCCCCCAAUCUAUUGUUAGACAAGCACAGUGGGUGAACUUUCUGGAGUAGUUACUAACAAUUGGGAAUUCUAAAUUUUAUUAUAAGAGCAGCUUGACUACGGUCCUUGGUGGUAACAGCUGAGGAGGACCAUAUGAGGUGCCCACUACUUAUCGGGAGUGGCUCUGUUUGAUGCAGCCCUAUGCUGUGGAUCAGUAUUCAUACCAUGGUUGGUUUACAAACUCAGAUCUCAACAGAAACGUGACAAGGCCGUUAUCACUCAAGCACCUGUGGCCAUUGUACAAAGGGCCUCACCUGGAAUUUGGUUAUCUAGUUCAGGAUUUACUCUGUAUCUGAGUUCCCUGCUCCUGCACCCCAUGGAUCUGUGGGUCCAUUGCACUGGGAGGAGAGGGAUACUCUCUGUAUCUGAGUUCUCUGCUCCUGCACCCCAUGGAUCUGUGGAUCCAUUGCACUGGGAUUGAGAGAGACUCAGUGUUCCUUUGAUCAGCCCUUGCACAUCGCUGAGGUUUCCUCAUUGCACGCGAUAGGGUGAUCAUUUCUGCUAUAAAAUUAUAUAAAUUAUAAGGGUGAGAUGUAGAGGGCCGCAAUACGUUCGUCACCACUAGAUGGCGCUGUCUUCCAUUGCGCCCCACGUGGUAGGUCAGGAUAGACUCCGCCAUUACAAGAUGGCGCCAACCUUCGCCGCGCCAGCCGGCCCCCCCUUUUCAGGUAGUUAACUGUGCGCAUGUGCAAGAGUGCCUUCUUGCCAGGUCUUUGCCCACUCCGGGGCGUGCCUUAUGAGAUCAUGGGUAACAACCAACCAGGUGUGGGUGCGCUGCAUGAAGGUUUUAUAAGCGCCCCCAUGUUGGCGCGGCGUGGCUUUUCCUCUUCUAAGAUUAAUAAAGUGGUCACAGUAAGGAUUUCUAAUGUCCCCAUGCUCCUUGCUGGCGAAAAGUCGCGCGCGGGACAGUCGGUAU